Molecule: long non-coding RNA, 287 nt
Organism: Solanum tuberosum (potato)
Lineage: Eukaryota; Viridiplantae; Streptophyta; Magnoliopsida; Solanales; Solanaceae
Exons: 2
Source: RefSeq, a predicted model, not a curated record
UACACACACAAAGUGGUGCUACUAUUAUUAAUUCUUCAGCAGUUGUCACUGGAGAUCUUGGACAUAAACCACCAUGUGGUGUGAAAUGGAAGGGAAAACAAGCUAUGGCCUCAAGCCAACUUGAAGAGAUGAGGGGAAGAAAACAAAUGGAGACUAGGUCUAAGGCUGCACAUUUGAGCCUAGAGAGCUCUAAUGCAAUCUAACUUGUUUUGGUAGAUUUUUGUUGGUAAUGCAAUGUAGACAUUUGUUUUGUUGGGUGAUAGACAAUGCAAUGCACUUUAUCCCUA